AGAGCGAACGCUGGCGGCAGGCCUAAUACAUGCAAGUCGAACGGAUCCUUCGGGAUUAGUGGCGGACGGGUGAGUAACACGUGGGAACGUACCCUUUGGUUCGGAACAACUCAGGGAAACUUGAGCUAAUACCGAAUGUGCCCUUCGGGGAAAAGAUUUAUCGCCAUUGGAGCGGCCCGCGUCUGAUUAGCUAGUUGGUAGGGUAAAGGCCUACCAAGGCUACGAUCAGUAGCUGGUCUGAGAGGAUGAUCAGCCACACUGGGACUGAGACACGGCCCAGACUCCUACGGGAGGCAGCAGUAGGGAAUCUUGCGCAAUGGGCGAAAGCCUGACGCAGCCAUGCCGCGUGAAUGAUGAAGGUCUUAGGAUUGUAAAAUUCUUUCAGCGGGGACGAUAAUGACGGUACCCGCAGAAGAACGCCCGGCUAACUUCGUGCCAGCAGCCGC
RNAcentral lists this ribosomal RNA (446 nucleotides) under uncultured bacterium. RNAcentral describes it as "SSU rRNA". It matches the Rfam family "Bacterial small subunit ribosomal RNA", at positions 26 to 518 of the family's 1533-position model. The record is from RNAcentral.